CAGGUAGUACGAGGCGAGGCUUAGUGGGAAGUCCCUGCCAGUAUCAAUUCUCACACUAGACUGAAAGCUCAGACAUUAAACAUUCACCAGCAGAGACGUGAGAGAGAACACAGUGAACACAGAUUGUGACCAGGGGAAGAUCCAAUGUAAAGGACACCAGGAAAAAAUUACAAACAGGACAUUUUUAUCAUAUGAUGGGGCUGUGAGCACAGCUCUUAGUGGGUAUCCUAUUAUACAGCCCUGGCUAAGUGCGAGGAUUAUUAUACAGCCAUGGAUGAGUGAAGCUGUAGUUACAGAGCUGCUGUGCAGAUCGUCUCUGAAUGUUUUCGACAGUGAGACAGUGCUGUACAGUCCUCAUUGCUGGAGACAUUGACCACACAGGAGCCGUUGCUUAUAAUGAACUGCAGGGCGAGUUGGAACCCACUUCCAAAAGUUUUCAGCUGAUGGUUGUUUCGAGGGAGAUGCAGCGAUCACUGUCUUAAUGUGCCAAACGCAGGCAGUCUGGUUACAUAUUAUGCAAGAAACACAACUCUAAAUUCAAGUUAUAUUUUAAUGUGGUGAAACUGAAGAUCCAUCUAGAUUGUUCGUUCCCAUAGAAAUAGGAUCCUCAACUCCUCUUAUUUGUUUGUCAAAUUUUAUUUUGUCUGUUAGAUGUAUUGUACCUUUGUCUUUUUACUUGUACCAAUUGUAACCAUGAGCAGCAUGGCAGAAUGUGUUGGUG
Molecule: long non-coding RNA, 721 nt
Filed under: Pelobates cultripes (western spadefoot toad)
Lineage: Eukaryota; Metazoa; Chordata; Amphibia; Anura; Pelobatidae
Source: RNAcentral